RNAcentral lists this ribosomal RNA (513 nucleotides) under uncultured bacterium. Its description in RNAcentral is "bacterial SSU rRNA". It matches the Rfam family "Bacterial small subunit ribosomal RNA", at positions 15 to 518 of the family's 1533-position model. The record is from RNAcentral.
GAUCAUGGCUCAGGAUGAACGCUAGCUACAGGCUUAACACAUGCAAGUCGAGGGGCAGCAUGUGGUGCUUGCAACCGAUGAUGGCGACCGGCGCACGGUGAGUAACGCGUAUCCAACCUUCCCUAUAGUAGAGGAUAGCCCGGCGAAAGUCGGAUUAAUACUCUAUGUUGUUCAAUGCAGACAUCUAAGUUGAAUCAAAGGUUCACCGCUAUAGGAUGGGGGAUGCGUCUGAUUAGGUAGUCGGCGGGGUAACGGCCCACCGAGCCAUCGAUCAGUAGGGGUUCUGAGAGGAAGGUCCCCCACAUUGGAACUGAGACACGGUCCAAACUCCUACGGGAGGCAGCAGUGAGGAAUAUUGGUCAAUGGGCGAGAGCCUGAACCAGCCAAGUAAGCGUGCAGGAUGACGGCCCUAUGGGUUGUAAACUGCUUUUAUACAGGGAUAAAGUCGGGGACGUGUCCCCGUUUGUAGGUACUGUAUGAAUAAGGACCGGCUAAUUCCGUGCCAGCAGCCGC